This 350-nucleotide ribosomal RNA is filed under the name uncultured bacterium. RNAcentral describes it as "bacterial SSU rRNA". It matches the Rfam family "Bacterial small subunit ribosomal RNA", at positions 30 to 401 of the family's 1533-position model. The record is from RNAcentral.
AUUGAACGCUGGCGGCAGGCUUAACACAUGCAAGUCGAGCGGAGACUUCGGUCUUAGCGGCGAACGGGUGAGUAAUACCUAGGAAUCUGCCUAUUAGUGGGGAUACGAAUCGAAAGGUUCGCUAAUACCGCAUACGUCCUACGGGANAAAGGGGGGAUCUUCGGACCUCUCGCUAAUAGAUGAGCCUAGGCCGGAUUAGCUAGUUGGUAGGUAAAGGCCUACCAAGGCGACGAUCUGUAGCUGGUCUGAGAGGAUGGCCAGCCACACUGGAACUGAGACAGGUCCAGACUCACGGAGGCAGCAGUGGGAANAUUGGACAAUGGGGGCAACCCUGAUCCAGCCAUGCCGCG